RNAcentral lists this ribosomal RNA (495 nucleotides) under uncultured microorganism. Its description in RNAcentral is "bacterial SSU rRNA". It matches the Rfam family "Bacterial small subunit ribosomal RNA", at positions 9 to 524 of the family's 1533-position model. The record is from RNAcentral.
GAGUUUGAUCGUGGCUCAGAACGAACGCUGGCGGCGUGGAUAAGACAUGCAAGUCGAACGGGAGAAUUGCUAGCUUGCUAAUAAUUCUCUAGUGGCGCACGGGUGAGUAACACGUGAGUAACCUGCCCCCGAGAGCGGGAUAGCCCUGGGAAACUGGGAUUAAUACCGCAUAGUAUCGAAAGAUUAAAGCAGCAAUGCGCUUGGGGAUGGGCUCGCGGCCUAUUAGUUAGUUGGUGAGGUAACGGCUCACCAAGGCGAUGACGGGUAGCCGGUCUGAGAGGAUGUCCGGCCACACUGGAACUGAAACACGGUCCAGACACCUACGGGUGGCAGCAGUCGAGAAUCAUUCACAAUGGGGGAAACCCUGAUGGUGCGACGCCGCGUGGGGGAAUGAAGGUCUUCGGAUUGUAAACCCCUGUCAUGUGGGAGCAAAAUUAAAAAGAUAGUACCACAAGAGGAAGAGACGGCUAACUCUGUGCCAGCAGCCGCCGUAAC